RNAcentral lists this ribosomal RNA (752 nucleotides) under uncultured bacterium. RNAcentral describes it as "bacterial SSU rRNA". It matches the Rfam family "Bacterial small subunit ribosomal RNA", at positions 8 to 796 of the family's 1533-position model. The record is from RNAcentral.
AGAGUUUGAUCAUGGCUCAGGACGAACGCUGGCGGCGUGCCUAAUGCAUGCAAGUCGCACGCGCGGAGCUUGCUCCGUGAGUGGCGCACGGCUGAGGAUCACGUGGGAACAUGCCUCCUUGUGGGGGACAACAGCGCGAAAGCGGUGCUAAUCCCGCAUACGCUCGGGCAACCGAGGAAAGCGGUAACGCGCAGGGAGAGUGGCCCGCGGCCCAUCAGGUCGUCGGUGGGGUAAUGGCCUACCGAGCCGAUGACGGGUAGCUGGUCUGUGAGGACAGACAGCCAGACUGGGACUGAGACACGGCCCAGACUCCUACGGGAGGCAGCAGCAAGGAAUUUUCGUCAAUGGGCGCAAGCCUGAACGAGCAACGCCGCGUGCCGGAUGACGGCCUUCGGGUUGUAAACGGCUUUUGCGGGGGACGAUGAUGACGGUACCCCGCGAAUAAGGCUCGGCUAACUCUGUGCCAGCAGCCGCGGUAAUACAGAGGAGCCAAGCGUUGUCCGGAUUGACUGGGCGUAAAGCGCACGCAGGCGGUUGCGCGCGUGGGGUGUGAAAUCUGGCCGCUUAACGGCCAGGCGCCAUCCCAUACGGCGCGACUGGAGUGAUGCAGAGGUCGGUGGAAUUGCCGGUGUAGUGGUGAAAUGCGUAGAGAUCGGCAGGAACACCCAGGGGGAAACCAGCCGACUGGGCAUCGACUGACGCUGAGGUGCGAGAGCGUGGGGAGCGAACCGGAUUAGAUACCCUCGUAGUCC